UGUGCCAGGCUUCUGGGCAGG
Molecule: unclassified non-coding RNA, 21 nt
Filed under: Mus musculus (house mouse)
Lineage: Eukaryota; Metazoa; Chordata; Mammalia; Rodentia; Muridae
Description: oocyte_clustered_small_RNA5012
Source: RNAcentral